RNAcentral lists this ribosomal RNA (250 nucleotides) under uncultured prokaryote. Its description in RNAcentral is "partial 16S ribosomal RNA". It matches the Rfam family "Bacterial small subunit ribosomal RNA", at positions 524 to 773 of the family's 1533-position model. The record is from RNAcentral.
UACGUAGGGGGCAAGCGUUAUCCGGAUUUACUGGGUGUAAAGGGAGCGUAGACGGCAUGGCAAGUCCGAAGUGAGAGCCCGCGACUCAACUGCGGGACUGCUUUGGAAACUGUUAAGCUAGAGUGCAGGAGAGGUAAGUGGAAUUCCUAGUGUAGCGGUGAAAUGCGUAGAUAUUAGGAGGAACACAGGUGGCGAAGGCGGCUUUCUGGACUGUAACUGACGUUGAGGCUCGAAAGCGUGGGGAGCAAAC